This 253-nucleotide ribosomal RNA is filed under the name uncultured bacterium. Its description in RNAcentral is "partial 16S ribosomal RNA". It matches the Rfam family "Bacterial small subunit ribosomal RNA", at positions 524 to 776 of the family's 1533-position model. The record is from RNAcentral.
UACGUAGGGACCGAGCGUUGUCCGGAAUCAUUGGGCGUAAAGAGCGUGUAGGCGGCCCCUUAAGUCCUGCGUGAAAUCCUGCGGCUCAACCGCAGACGGUCGUGGGAAACUGGAGGGCUAGAGUGCGGGAGAGGAGAGUGGAAUUCCCGGUGUAGCGGUGAAAUGCGCAGAUAUCGGGAAGAACACCCGUGGCGAAGGCGGCUCUCUGGAGCGCAACUGGCGCUGAGACGCGAAAGCGUGGGGAGCAAACAGG